CCGUACGAUCACUGAAGUUAAGCACAGUCGAGCCUGGUCAGUAGCUAGAUAGGUGACCUCUUAGGAAUACCAGGUGCUGUAG
Non-coding RNA from Acanthosepion pharaonis, 82 nucleotides. The record is from the annotation of a GenBank genome assembly. NCBI's taxonomy places the organism in Eukaryota, Metazoa, Mollusca, Cephalopoda, Sepiida, Sepiidae.